UUGUCCUGUAGAGGUUUGACAUUAGUCCUAACUUCCUUUCAGAUGCAGACAGUACAAAUCGGUGGCAAAGGGCACCAGUCCUGGAUGAGGAACUUCCCAUGAGCUGGUCAGUCAUUGUUUGCAUUUACAGGGGAAGCAUAAAUGGUGAAUCUGUUACAGCCCUGUUCUGUGCCUUUAUUUUUAGGAGGUCCAGGCAGAUAGCAGCAGUCAAAGCCCAGUGUGCCAGGGAAUCCACUGGGAGUAUGCUAAGCCCCUGUCAGCAGCUGGCUGAUGGACUGGGUUUGCUGCACUUAUGAGCCCUCUGGAAGUAUUACAGGACCCUGUGAUGAAGCCUACUGAUUUUGCAUUUCAAGGUCCCAUCCUGGUAGCCCAGAGCAGUGGCCAAGGAGUUGUGGUGAGUCGGGGAGGUAGGGAGGAGGAGUGAGAGUCCUCUCGAGUUUCAGCAUUGUCUCCCCUUAACGUAGGUGUGCCCUGCAAUGAUGGCGUCAGAAUCCAAGCACACCCGGAGCGUGCAGGCCCAGAACCCGGGCAUUCUGAGGAGGAUGGCCAAGAAGUGACAGCUGGAACUUACCAGACAGGCAGACGGCCUUCUUCUGCAGCCAACAGGGAUUUGCAUCCCCAGAUAUGCGCAAGAUAAGUCAAGGGCUACAACCCACAGAGGGCAUGGAAGCGAGGUGCCAGGUUGGGAGUCCCCAGGAGGGGUUUUUCAGUUAGUUUUGGAGAUGAGGAUGUCCAAGAAGUGUCUUCUUAGGCCAGCUAAAGGAAAAGUGUCUCUUUUGAUCACAGUGCCGGGGUGCGCAGGGCAGAGCAGUUCCGGUGUGUGUCCUGUCACUUGUCUCUGGUGCACUCUGUGUUCUUUGGGUCUCCCAGUCCUUUCUUCUUGUGGAAAGCUCUCUCUCCCUGUCUUGUCCCCUCGUUUCUCACGUCCUGUGUCACGGGUGUCUGCACAUAUUUGUACCGGAGCUGCUCUGCCGUGCUGCGUAGCCUGUAAUAGCACAAGUCCUGGGGGCUUGAAAUUGGUAAUGCAGGGUGUAGCUGGGCUCCACAUUUUGUUAGGAGAUUACCAGAACUUGUUUGGUGGUGUUAAGUUGUC
Molecule: non-coding RNA, 1093 nt
Organism: Taeniopygia guttata (zebra finch)
Lineage: Eukaryota; Metazoa; Chordata; Aves; Passeriformes; Estrildidae
Source: RefSeq, a predicted model, not a curated record